CACGUAGGGCGCGAGCGUUGUCCGGAAUUAUUGGGCGUAAAAGGCUUGUAGGUGGCCACGUCAAGUCGGAUGUGAAAUCUCCCGGCUCAACUGGGAGGGGUCAUUCGAUACUGGCGGGCUCGAGGCCGGUAGGGGGAAGUGGAAUUCCCGGUGUAGUGGUGGAAUGCGUAGAUAUCGGGAGGAACACCAGUGGCGAAGGCGGCUUCCUGGACCGGCUCUGACACUGAGGAGCGAAAGCGUGGGGA
This 245-nucleotide ribosomal RNA is filed under the name uncultured bacterium. RNAcentral describes it as "partial 16S ribosomal RNA". It matches the Rfam family "Bacterial small subunit ribosomal RNA", at positions 524 to 767 of the family's 1533-position model. The record is from RNAcentral.